UGGGUGAAUUCUUCAAUGAGUUAGGAGACGAUGGCAUAAUUAUUUUCCAUUUGAAGCAGAUUGAUGGCAUAGUCAAAGGUGGGUUAAUUGUUGAAGGAAUUGAGAUUAGACCUAAAUAUGAUUAGUAAUAAUGAUUUAAUAUUGGCAUGAGAAACUAUUUAAUGUAAUUUUUCAUUGUUGAUUUGUAACUGAAUAGCUAAAAAGAGAGGUUGGAUGAUUGAUAUACUUUGUUAAACCAUAUAAUAAAAUUUGAUUAUAUGACAGAAGAAGAAAGGAUUGUAACAAUAUUGUAUAGAAAGAAAGAAGAUUUUUAAAUAGAGUAAAAUUAAAAAAGAAAAAUUUAUGAAGGAUAACAAAGUUUUAAAAUUUAAAUUAUGAACUAAUAUAAUCUAAAAUUUUGCUAUUUCAUGCCAAUUUAUCUAAAAAGAAAAAAAAGGAAUGAGAGGGAAAAGAGAGAUGACUUAAGCUAAUAUCAUAUUAAAUUUAGAUUAUAAUCAAAAUUUAGUUUAAUUUGACAAUAUUUGAAUCAAAUUACUGGAAUAAAAACAUUUAAGAAAAAUUUGUACCAUAAAUUUGAGUUGUUCUAAUUUAAAUCGCACCAAACUCCAAAAUACAAAAAAAUAUUAUAUGAAAACUAAAUCGAACCACAUAUUUGUAUAAAUUGUAUUAAAAUUGCUCCUCAUAAACAAUUCGGUUUAAAUCCUAGAGAAUCAGUUUCUAGGAUUGCUAAAAUUGCUCCACAUAUUUCUAAAAUUGCUGCACAUAUUUACCUUAUUGUUUGCAGUUGAUUUUACAAUCGAUUUAAAACAUUAAACUGAAGCAUAAGAAGUGGUUUUAACAUAACACAAACUGUAUGCAAUCUCGGUACUGUUUUGAUUCAGUUCGAUUUUCAAAUAUUUUAUGAACACCCUUAAACGACUCUAAUUGUAAGUGUGUUAAAUGUUUAUUUAAAAUAUAUUUUUAAAUGUUUAAUUUAAAAACACAAGUCAUUUUCGAGAGAAAAACAAAAAAAAUUGUGACGAUAACCUUUAAAAAUAACUUUUUAAGUGUAAUUUAAAUAACUUUAAUAAAAAUGGUUAUUUUGGAAAGCAGUUUUUAUUAAGCCAAUCAAAGUUAAACUCCUCCCUGUCUUUUACUUGAAUAACAAUUAUUUAAUCCUACCGUUUCACCGACCUCGGUGGAGAGGAUACUUUUGGUAACACAGAAAACAAAACUAAAAAGAAAAAAAGGCCAAAUCGGAGAUGGACAUCAACCAGCUACCGGCGGAGUGCAUUUCUUCCAUUUUGGCCUUCACAUCACCGAAAGAUGCCUGCAGAUCUGCCGUCGCGUCCCCGGCUUUCAGAUCCGCCGCUGAUUCCGACGCUAUUUGGACCACUUUUCUGCCGUCCGAUUACCGACAGAUUAUUUCCCAGGCUUCCUCUUCAUCUACGUCGUCGUUUCUGAAUUCACUGUCCAAAAAGGCUCUCUACUUCCGUCUCUCCGAUCAUUUGCUUUUCAUUGGCUCUGGAAAUUCGGUAAAUUCAUAAUGCCUCAUUUAUCCAAACCUUAAUUUUGAUUACUUAAAAUUCAAUUCAAUUUCCUUUCGUCUUAAACUAAAUAUCUGUUUUUGAUUACUCUACCAACUUUUAAUUCCUAUCUUAUAGUACUCUAACUCAUUCAAAAUCUCGCGUUAGAACGAACUUUCAAAUUACACACGGUGGAUAUGAGCAAUAUAAUUAUGGAUUACAAUAUACUUUUGUUGUUGUUAUUACUGACUUACUAAUAAAAUAGAGUUAUUGAGAGUGGGAUUAAUGAUUUGAAACAGAGUUUUGUGUUGGAGAAAGAGAGUGGGAAGAAAUGUUAUAUGAUAGGAGCAAGAGAUCUGGAGAUUGUUUGGGGGAGUUCACCCGCAUAUUGGACUUGGCAAUCCAUUCCUACAUCAAGGUCCCUCUUUCUUUGCCCCCUCUCUCUAUAAACAUAUAUACUCUCAUUUGUUAAUUUCAUCAUUGUUUUUGUUUCUAAAUUAUGUGCUUCAUUUUUUCCCCACAAUUUUCUUAUUGUAGGUUUUAAGUACUUUUUAUUUAUUUAUUUUAGGAGUAAACAUUUGACAGAAGAAAAAAAACAUUAAUUUAUUCAUUUACGUUUUCAGACCAAAUUAAUUUACGCCCUUGGAAUGAGUUUAAUUUCAUUACUUAAAUUUGGAUCUUUUUAAAAAAUAAUCUAAAAUUUAAAACAUAAGUAAAAAAAUAGGUUCGUUCGAGAACUAGUUUUAAAAAUGAGUGAGUUGAGGUGAAGUUGUGUAGCACGUACCCGAUUUCCAUGAAGUGGACCCCACAUCUUCUAUUUUUUUCUUAUUUUUAUAUAUAUACUACAUUGUACCUCACAUUUUUAUUCUCUCAUUAUUUAUAUAUGUGGGUCUCACACAUUUUAUUUUUUCUCAUUAUUUAUAUAUAUAUAUAUAUACUCACAUAUAAUAAUAUAUAUAUUAAACGUUCAAAUUCUAAAAAUAUUUUUUUAUUAAAUUAAUUUAUUAUUUUAUUUUAUUCUUUAUUUAUAUUUAAAUAUCUCAAUCUUUAAUUUUUCUUAUUAAAUUCAAUUUUUCUAAUUUAAUUUAAUUAUUACUUAAUCGAAAUUAUACAUUUUUUUUCAUUUUUCAAUAUUUAAAAAAAAUCAAAAUAUUAACAAAAUAUGUUAUUAAAAAUUAUAUUAAACAAAUAAAAAUGGUAAUAAUUUGAGUAAUUUCAGCUUCUUUCAAUUAUUACUGUUACUACUUUUACUUGUUUAAUAUAUUUUUAAUAACAUAUUUUGUUAAUAUAUGAGUUUUUUUUUUGUGAUAUUUAAAUAUAAAAAAUAAAAAAAUAAAAAUUUAAUUUAAUAAAGAAAUAUAUUGUUAGAAUUUGAAUGUUUAAUAUAUAUAUUAUUAUAUGUGGGUAUAUAUAUAAAUAACGAGAAAAAGUAAAAUGUGUGGGAUCCACGUAUAUAAAUAAUGAGAAAAUAAAAAAAUGUGGGAUGAGUGUAGUAUAUACGUAAAAAUAAGAAAAAAAUAGAAAAGGUGUCAUGGAAGCCGUGUACCCCAUACACGAUUUCACCUCAACUCACCUAUUUUUAAAAAUAGUUUUGAAACUAACCUAUUUUUGACAUAUGUUUCAAAUUUUAAAUUAAUUUAAAAAAAGAUCCUUUAAAUUUAGGUUGUAAUUUUAAUAAAUUGAACACCAAACCAACAAUUUAGUCUAUGGGUUUAACUUUUUACCCCUUCUUAAGAAAAUAUUUAAUUAAAAAAUUCUGCACACAGGUUUUAGAAUUGGUUAACUAUUAGUGGUAAUGUUUGUUUAUGAAUCACUCGUAUUUAAGGCGGCACAAUUUUGACAAUUUGAUAUACAAAGAAAAAUUGUUAAAAAUUGUUACAAAUUUGAUAAUACAUAGGUAUAGUAAAUAAUUAUACGUCGACUAAAUUGUUAUAAAUAGAAAAAAAAUUAAUAUUAUUGUUAUAGUUUUGAUAAACAAAUUUAACUUAUAAUGAAAUGUAAUAACAAAUAAAAGAAAAACACACGAACACAUUUGAUAAUGAUAUUGAAAUUGUGGAAGUCUAAAGCUUAUAAACCACAGGUUUCCUGAAGUGGCCGAGUUGCGAGUCGUGUGGUGGCUUGAAAUCAAAGGAAAAAUAGAGGGUAGAAAUUUAAGUCCUAAAACCAAAUAUGCAGCUUACUUUGUGUUCAAGUUUAAGGAAGGCGAUUUCCAGCACGAUGGGUUUGGAACAAAACCUGUUUCAUUAGAAGUUUAUUUUGAAGGGGAGGAGGUUGGAGAAGAUGGAACGAAAAUGGUACUUUUGGACCCUCCCGAAGGAUCUCCUGUAGUUUGUAAAGAAAGAAGUGAUGGAUGGAUGGAGGUUGAAAUGGGUGAAUUCUUCAAUGAGUUAGGAGACGAUGGCAUGGUUAUUUUCCAUUUGAAGCAGAUUGAUGGCAUAAUUAAAGGUGGGUUAAUUGUUGAAGGAAUUGAGAUUAGACCUAAAUAUGAUUAGUAAUAAUAAUUUAAUAUUGGCAUGAGAAACUACUUAAUGUAAUUUUCAUUAUUCUUCUUGCAACUGAAUUACUAAAAAGAGAUUG
This 4082-nucleotide long non-coding RNA is filed under the name Cucumis sativus (cucumber). RNAcentral's name for it is "long non-coding RNA (CSAT_LNC000930)". Lineage: Eukaryota; Viridiplantae; Streptophyta; Magnoliopsida; Cucurbitales; Cucurbitaceae. The record is from RNAcentral.